RNAcentral lists this ribosomal RNA (484 nucleotides) under uncultured bacterium. RNAcentral's name for it is "partial 16S ribosomal RNA". It matches the Rfam family "Bacterial small subunit ribosomal RNA", at positions 30 to 507 of the family's 1533-position model. The record is from RNAcentral.
AUUGAACGCUGGCGGCAGGCCUAACACAUGCAAGUCGAGCGGAUGAAGGGAGCUUGCUCCUGGAUUCAGCGGCGGACGGGUGAGUAAUGCCUAGGAAUCUGCCUGGUAGUGGGGGAUAACGUCCGGACACGGGCGCUAAUACCGCAUCCGUCCUGAGGGUGAAAGUGGGGGAUCUUCGGACCUCACGCUAUCUGCUGACCCUAGGUCGGAUUAGCUAGUUGGUGGGGUAAAGGCCUACCAAGGCGACGAUCCGUAACUGGUCUGAGAGGAUGAUCAGUCACACUGGAACUGAGACACGGUCCAGACUCCUACGGGAGGCAGCAGUGGGGAAUAUUGGACAAUGGGCGAAAGCCUGGUCCAGCCAUGCCGCGUGUGUGAAGAAGGUCUUCGGAUUGUAAAGCACUUUAAGUUGGGAGGAAGGGAAGUAAGUUAAUACCUUGCUGUUUUGACGUUACCAACAGAAUAAGCACCGGCUAACUUCGUG